RNAcentral lists this ribosomal RNA (786 nucleotides) under Triticum aestivum (bread wheat). RNAcentral's name for it is "partial small subunit ribosomal RNA". Lineage: Eukaryota; Viridiplantae; Streptophyta; Magnoliopsida; Poales; Poaceae. The record is from RNAcentral.
AUGGCCGCCCGGGGAAGGAGCAGAGCGAUCCGCCGCCGCGAUGACUCCCGUCCCGCGCCGCCGUUCCCCGCCGUAGCUUCUCAGAAGAGGAGGCAGAUGCAGCCGGCGGCGGAAGUGGUGAGCGUCCCCGAGGGCCCCCUCGUCGAGAUCCUGGCGCGGCUGCCCUACCGGUCGCUCUGCCGAUUCAAGUGCGUCUCCAAGCAGUGGCGCGUCCUCUGCUCCGACCCCAGCAUCGUCAAGAGGGCGACGCAGACCCUCUCCGGAUUCUUCCAAUACGGCCCGGCCGGCAGCCUCGGCUUCAGCAAUCUGUCCGGCGGACGUCCGCUGGUCGACGCUUCGCUCCCUUUCCUGCGCCCGAGAUACCAAAGGAUCAAUAUCGAGCAAUGCUCCACCAGCCUUCUCCUCUGCAAAUGCUGGAAACUGGAAUCGGAAAAGGACAAAUUCGAUUUCAUCGUGUGCAAUCCGAUGACCGAACAGUGGACCGUGCUGCCUCCUAUUGAAUGGCUGGACCAAGACAACGGAGAACCCGAAAGUUUCGAGCUGAAUUAUCCCUUCCUGGUUUUCGACUUGUCUGUUCCGUCUCGUUUCGUCGUGUUUGCGCCCCUCUGGGAGUCGAUCGACGUUGUGCCGAUAUACUCAUGGGAAACCGGACAAUGGACUCCCAGCACGGGGUGGGGACACAGACGGAACCGUGCCGUUAGCGCCGAAUGUGUCUUCCUGAAUGGCAUGAUCCAUUUCUUGCAUUUGCUUUUCCAUGGAACUUUCAUAACUAUACUAGACCUUUGA